RNAcentral lists this ribosomal RNA (546 nucleotides) under Mysticellus franki (Franky's narrow-mouthed frog). RNAcentral describes it as "partial 16S ribosomal RNA". It matches the Rfam family "Bacterial large subunit ribosomal RNA", at positions 1841 to 2598 of the family's 2925-position model. The record is from RNAcentral. Lineage: Eukaryota; Metazoa; Chordata; Amphibia; Anura; Microhylidae.
AAUCAUAGAAGGUCCAGCCUGCCCAGUGACUUAGUUAAACGGCCGCGGUACCCUAACCGUGCGAAGGUAGCGCAAUCACUUGUUCUUUAAAUGAGGACUAGUAUGAACGGCAUCACGAGGGUUAUACUGUCUCCCUUUUCCAAUCAGUGAAACUGAUCUUCCCGUGAAGAAGCGGGAAUCACUAUAUAAGACGAGAAGACCCCAUGGAGCUUUAAACUCAGUAUCAGCUACCUUUUCAUACACCAUCUUAUCUAGGUAGACAUGACUACUAGUUUUCGGUUGGGGUGACCGCGGAGCAAAACAAAACCUCCACGAUGAAAGGAUCUCACAUCCUUAUCAUAGAGCUACAACUCAAAGAAUCAAAAAAUUGACAAAAAUUGAUCCAAGAAUUUCUUGAUCAACGAACCAAGUUACCCUGGGGAUAACAGCGCAAUCCAUUUCAAGAGCCCCUAUCGACAAAUGGGUUUACGACCUCGAUGUUGGAUCAGGGUAUCCCAGUGGUGCAGCCGCUACUAAAGGUUCGUUUGUUCAACGAUUAAAACCCUA